CUAACGCAUUAAGCACUCCGCCUGGGGAGUACGGUCGCAAGACUGAAACUCAAAGGAAUUGACGGGGGCCCGCACAAGCGGUGGAGCAUGUGGUUUAAUUCGAAGCAACGCGAAGAACCUUACCAGGUCUUGACAUCCUCUGACAACCCUAGAGAUAGGGCUUUCCCUUCGGGGACAGAGUGACAGGUGGUGCAUGGUUGUC
RNAcentral lists this ribosomal RNA (202 nucleotides) under Bacillus sp. (in: firmicutes). RNAcentral describes it as "Bacillus sp. (in: Bacteria) partial 16S ribosomal RNA". It matches the Rfam family "Bacterial small subunit ribosomal RNA", at positions 852 to 1053 of the family's 1533-position model. Lineage: Bacteria; Bacillati; Bacillota; Bacilli; Caryophanales; Bacillaceae. The record is from RNAcentral.